CGUCUUGUCGAUCUUUCAUGCGUCGAAGUCGUCGAAUCAGCAGUCCCAUACGUUUGUAACUGUCGUGCGUCCGAGCCAAAGUCCCCCUUUACUCCUUGCUCCGCUGAAAAGAGGCUCCGAGCCAAAAUCUCCCUCCGCACGCGUCCCUAUCAGUGCUGAGGUCCGUCGGGCUACAGGACUGCAAGCAUCCGAUCUUCAUAUAAUAGAGAGAUAUGGGGUCACAGUUCCCCCAGCCCGACGCCAAAGCCAGAUCGAC
RNAcentral lists this long non-coding RNA (256 nucleotides) under Elaeis guineensis (African oil palm). RNAcentral describes it as "long non-coding RNA (EGUI_LNC031691)". Lineage: Eukaryota; Viridiplantae; Streptophyta; Magnoliopsida; Arecales; Arecaceae. The record is from RNAcentral.